Molecule: ribosomal RNA, 1218 nt
Filed under: Triticum aestivum (bread wheat)
Lineage: Eukaryota; Viridiplantae; Streptophyta; Magnoliopsida; Poales; Poaceae
Description: partial small subunit ribosomal RNA
Source: RNAcentral
AUGAUGCAAAGUUUUUUCCUUUGCAAGGUUGCAAUAGGGCCUUUUUUGAACAAGGGCCUCGUUGCAAUGGCAAUAGGCCCUUUGUUGCAAGAAAACAUCUCCGUUGCGGCCGUGUUCGCCGCCAGGCUCGUCUUCUCCGACGAUGACACUGCCCUCCACCACUUCGGCUACGUCGACUCCGUCUACUCCGCCACCUCGCUGCGGUUAGAUCUGGCGAGCCGCCGCUGCCAGGACGCCUCCUCCACCCUUCUUGGCUCGCGGCCUCCUCUAGCCUGCUCGCCCGCGACCGCCAGCCCCCGCAACGUCUGCUCCGCCACCUUGCCACGGCCAGAUCCGGCGAGCCUCCGCCGCCAGGCAUCCUUCUCCACCCACCUCUGUCAACGGAGCCAAGCGGCGGCAUCCUGGCAGCCGACCGACCUGCCUCCGCCUACCGUCGGAGAACGCGCGGAGAUGAAGCGGGGCAUCGCGGCCCCUCCAACCCUUGAAAUUCUCCCCUCCCCUCCGAUGGCCGGCAGCCCUCGCCCGGUGAGAGACCUCUACGACGUGGAGGAUCUGCUACUUCUGCGGCCCUCCAAGAGGUCCAGGGGGAAGGUGGAGAUCCCUCGCUGCCGUCUCGAGGAGGAGGCGGCCAUCAACGCCGCCAUCAAACUCAAGUCCAUGGUCGACUCGGGAGAUGUCAGUCUGGUCAAUCCGGAUGUACUGGCAUCCAAGCUACGGGCCAAGGACGCCAUCGAAGAAGCGAUCAAGGAGAUGGUUGAGAAACAGAUGGAGUGGUCGUCGCGAGAGACCCAGGAGGUGGAUGCGUGCAUCGCCAUCCUCAAGAACCGGCUCCAGACCCCCGACGCCGACAUCCCCCUUCCAGGCCCGUCGAUGGCGCCCCAGGGCAAGAGGAAAGUGAUCGAUCACUGCAUUUACCCCGAAAGCAAGUUUGGUCCCUAUCCUCUAUACGAUCUUAGUGCUGGUGUUAAUGAAGUUGAGUUUACAGCAGCACAGGAGGAAGAAGCGAGAGCCUCUGCGGUGCAGUCUCAACGGGCACUCUGGACUAUGAACCUCAAGGCGCACGAGGCUAAGAAGACGGUGCUGGAAGAGUAUGCACCCAAGGUGAAGAAAGCGUUCCAGGAGCUGCUCGCUGAUACACUGCGGGAGCCUUCCUUCAUUGGCGCUGGGGAUGGGUAUGCAGACUACGGGUUCCUCAGCCAUACUGGCCAGCUUCGCUGA